Molecule: ribosomal RNA, 469 nt
Filed under: uncultured bacterium
Lineage: Bacteria
Description: bacterial SSU rRNA
Rfam family: Bacterial small subunit ribosomal RNA
Source: RNAcentral
CGCUGGCGGCAGGCCUAACACAUGCAAGUCGAGCGGAUGAAAGGAGCUUGCUCCUGGAUUCAGCGGCGGACGGGUGAGUAAUGCCUAGGAAUCUGCCUGGUAGUGGGGGACAACGUUUCGAAAGGAACGCUAAUACCGCAUACGUCCUACGGGAGAAAGCAGGGGACCUUCGGGCCUUGCGCUAUCAGAUGAGCCUAGGUCGGAUUAGCUAGUUGGUGAGGUAAUGGCUCACCAAGGCGACGAUCCGUAACUGGUCUGAGAGGAUGAUCAGUCACACUGGAACUGAGACACGGUCCAGACUCCUACGGGAGGCAGCAGUGGGGAAUAUUGGACAAUGGGCGAAAGCCUGAUCCAGCCAUGCCGCGUGUGUGAAGAAGGUCUUCGGAUUGUAAAGCACUUUAAGUUGGGAGGAAGGGCAGUAAAUUAAUACUUUGCUGUUUUGACGUUACCGACAGAAUAAGCACUGGCU